GAUCAUUACUGAUUUGCUUAAUUGCACCACAUGUGUUUUUCUUUGAAACAAACUUGCUUUGGCGGUGGGCCCAGCCUGCCGCCAGAGGUCUAAACUUACAACCAAUUUUUUAUUAACUUGUCACACCAGAUUAUUACUUAAUAGUCAAAACUUUCAACAACGGAUCUCUUGGUUCUCGCAUCGAUGAAGAACGCAGCGAAAUGCGAUACGUAAUAUGAAUUGCAGAUAUUCGUGAAUCAUCGAAUCUUUGAACGCACAUUGCGCCCUCUGGUAUUCCGGAGGGCAUGCCUGUUUGAGCGUCGUUUCUCCCUCAAACCGCUGGGUUUGGUGUUGAGCAAUACGACUUGGGUUUGCUUGAAAGACGGUAGUGGUAAGGCGGGAUCGCUUUGACAAUGGCUUAGGUCUAACCAAAAACAUUGCUUGCGGCGGUAACGUCCACCACGUAUAUCUUCAAACUUUGACCUCAAAUCAGG
This 473-nucleotide unclassified non-coding RNA is filed under the name Candida albicans. RNAcentral describes it as "sequence contains 18S rRNA gene, ITS1, 5.8S rRNA gene, ITS2, 28S rRNA gene". The stretch from base 149 to 302 matches the Rfam family "5.8S ribosomal RNA". Lineage: Eukaryota; Fungi; Ascomycota; Pichiomycetes; Serinales; Debaryomycetaceae. The record is from RNAcentral.